This 253-nucleotide ribosomal RNA is filed under the name uncultured bacterium. RNAcentral describes it as "partial 16S ribosomal RNA". It matches the Rfam family "Bacterial small subunit ribosomal RNA", at positions 524 to 776 of the family's 1533-position model. The record is from RNAcentral.
GACAGAGGGUGCAAACGUUGUUCGGAAUUACUGGGCGUAAAGCGUGUGUAGGCGGCUAGGUAAGUCGGAUGUGAAAGCCCCGGGCUCAACUCGGGAAGUGCACUCGAUACUGCUUAGCUCGAGUACCGGAGAGGUUGGUGGAAUUCUCGGUGUAGAGGUGAAAUUCGUAGAUAUCGAGAAGAACACCGGUGGCGAAGGCGGCCAACUGGACGGUGACUGACACUGAGACGCGAAAGCGUGGGGAGCAAACAGG